GCCGGGAUAGCUCAGCUGGGAGAGCAACAGACUGAAGUCCCUUUGGAAUCUGGAGGUCCCGUGUUCAAUCCACGGUCCUGGCA
Molecule: transfer RNA, 83 nt
Filed under: Scleroderma citrinum Foug A
Lineage: Eukaryota; Fungi; Basidiomycota; Agaricomycetes; Boletales; Sclerodermataceae
Rfam family: tRNA
About the family: Transfer RNA (tRNA) molecules are approximately 80 nucleotides in length.
Source: Rfam by way of RNAcentral